ACGGGAGGCAGCAGUGGGGAAUAUUGGGCAAUGGGGGAAACCCUGACCCAGCAACGCCGCGUGAAGGAAGAAGGCUUUCGGGUUGUAAACUUCUUUUACCAGGGACGAAGAAAGUGACGGUACCUGGAGAAAAAGCCACGGCUAACUACGUGCCAGCAGCCGCGGUAAUACGUAGGUGGCAAGCGUUGUCCGGAUUUACUGGGUGUAAAGGGCGAGUAGGCGGGCUUGCAAGUCAGAUGUGAAAUACCGGGGCUCAACCCCGGGGCUGCAUUUGAAACUGUAAGUCUUGAGUGAUGGAGAGGCAGGCGGAAUUCCCAGUGUAGCGGUAAAAUGCAUAGAGAUUGGGAAGAACACCAGUGGCGAAGGCGGCCUGCUGGACAUUAACUGACGCUGAGGAGCGAAAGUGUGGGGAGCAAACAGGAUUAGAUACCCUGGUA
RNAcentral lists this ribosomal RNA (437 nucleotides) under uncultured Oscillospiraceae bacterium. RNAcentral's name for it is "bacterial SSU rRNA". It matches the Rfam family "Bacterial small subunit ribosomal RNA", at positions 341 to 792 of the family's 1533-position model. Lineage: Bacteria; Bacillati; Bacillota; Clostridia; Eubacteriales; Oscillospiraceae. The record is from RNAcentral.